AAACGGAAGAGGUUGGAAUCUUAUCGAAAGGGGGGAAUCAACCUGGCCUUUACUCAAGCCCCUGUGCGUCGCGAAACGUUGUCGGCAGCCGGACCAGAACUAGUUGACGGUUCCCGGUGUUAGGCGGCAGCGGCGGCGUACUAGGUGCGGUUGCGCGAGAUGGCUGAGUGCACUUACCCCCUAGUAGACGCUGCGACCCGUUGGGUACAGCAACCCGGCCUAGGGACCUGGAAUUGAGACCGAGGCGCUCCGGUUAGGUGUCGUGUUGGAAGGUUUAAUCGCCUUCCCGGCCACGGAGUAUGCCGAGGACCCGGGUUCUCCCGGCCGGGGCUCGACGGAAAGACAAUGGAUUUGGGGCGAUGCCCGCUAAAAAAUUGGAGCGUCCGAGGGGCCAGCAAGACCACCUCGUGCUUGCAGCAGCGUCGCGCGCCCUAGUGCGCGCGGUCGUUCCGGUUAGCGUAGCAAUGGAGACGCGCCGGGCCACGGGUGUCUGCUGGUUGGCUCACGAGUAUCUCUCGGAUCUGGACUUGCGCCCCUGUCCGCGGCGCCAUUCCUUCCGAUGCUCUUCCGAC
This 572-nucleotide ribosomal RNA is filed under the name Isoldaia sp. MNHN PG19. RNAcentral's name for it is "partial 28S ribosomal RNA". The record is from RNAcentral. Lineage: Eukaryota; Metazoa; Arthropoda; Insecta; Blattodea; Pseudophyllodromiidae.